Molecule: ribosomal RNA, 435 nt
Filed under: uncultured bacterium
Lineage: Bacteria
Description: bacterial SSU rRNA
Rfam family: Bacterial small subunit ribosomal RNA
Source: RNAcentral
UACGGGAGGCAGCAGUGGGGAAUAUUGCACAAUGGGCGCAAGCCUGAUGCAGCCAUGCCGCGUGUAUGAAGAAGGCCUUCGGGUUGUAAAGUACUUUCAGUCGUGAGGAAGGUGUUAAGGUUAAUAACCUUAGCAAUUGACGUUAGCGACAGAAGAAGCACCGGCUAACUCCGUGCCAGCAGCCGCGGUAAUACGGAGGGUGCGAGCGUUAAUCGGAAUUACUGGGCGUAAAGGGCACGCAGGCGGUUAAUUAAGUUGGAUGUGAAAUCCCCGGGCUUAACCUGGGAAUGGCAUUCAAGACUGGUUAGCUAGAGUCUUGUAGAGGGGGUUAGAAUUCCAUGUGUAGCGGUGAAACUGCGUAGAGAUGUGGAGGAAUACCGGUGGCGAAGGCGGCCCCUGGGACAAAGACUGACGCUCAUGUGCGAAAGCUGGGGA